ACCACAAUAGACGCAGGGAAAUAAAGAGUCAAAACAGAAAAAAAAAAUGUUUUUGGAAAGUGCUUUAGGUGUUCAGCCGUACACUUUGGCGUUAGAUCUAGUGAAAUUUUCGUGGAUGUUGGAAAAUCUAAAGUUGGGAAUAGAUUGAGGAGGCCAACGGGGAUUUCUAGGAGACAUUCACGCAAGUCCGAUAUCAGCGAACGGCGACUGAUACGGCGGGAGUCGCUGGUUUUCUGAAAACCUUGAAGAACAGUGGUCAGUGUUCAUCCUGUUAUCGAGAGAAAAUAGAGUAUUUGAGGACAAAUAGAGAAAAUUGGGAGAAGAAUGAAAUAAAAAAUUUUUAUUUUUAGUAUUUAAAGGAACAAACAACGGUGCCGUUUUGAGAGGAAAUUUUUAUUGAAGAUCCACUCAUUUGUCUGAAAUUUUUAACCCGACCCGAUCACGAUCUGUCCGGUAACUUACGUCUGAUUGAAGCUAUGAGCCGAGCUUAUUGAGUCGAGACUAAUAACCAAGCUAAUUCUUUUUGUUUCUAUAGCUGAAUUGAAUCGCACCUUCCCCGAGUCGAACAGAUUCCUUUCG
RNAcentral lists this long non-coding RNA (579 nucleotides) under Durio zibethinus. RNAcentral describes it as "long non-coding RNA (DZIB_LNC001343)". Lineage: Eukaryota; Viridiplantae; Streptophyta; Magnoliopsida; Malvales; Malvaceae. The record is from RNAcentral.